This 22-nucleotide ribosomal RNA is filed under the name Curvularia tuberculata. Its description in RNAcentral is "partial 28S ribosomal RNA". The record is from RNAcentral. Lineage: Eukaryota; Fungi; Ascomycota; Dothideomycetes; Pleosporales; Pleosporaceae.
UUUUGACCUCGGAUCAGGUAGG